AACGAACGCUGGCGGCACGCCUAACACAUGCAAGUCGAGCGCACCUUCGGGUGAGCGGCGGACGGGUUAGUAACGCGUGGGAACAUACCCUUUUCUACGGAAUAGCCUCGGGAAACUGAGAGUAAUACCGUAUACGCCCUUCGGGGGAAAGAUUUAUCGGUGAAGGAUUGGCCCGCGUCUGAUUAGAUAGUUGGUGGGGUAAUGGCCUACCAAGUCUACGAUCAGUAGCUGGUUUGAGAGGAUGAUCAGCAACACUGGGGCUGAGACACGGCCCAGACUCCUACGGGAGGCAGCAGUGGGGAAUCUUAGACAAUGGGCGCAAGCCUGAUCUAGCGAUGCCGCGUGAGUGAUGAAGGUCUUAGGAUCGUAAAGCUCUUUCGCCAGGGAUGAUAAUGACAGUACCUGGUAAAGAAACCCCGGCUAACUCCGUGCCAGCAGCCGCGGUAAUACGGAGGGGGUUAGCGUUGUUCGGAAUUACUGGGCCGUAAAGCGCGCGUAGGCGGAUUAUUAAGUUAGAGGUGAAAUCCCAGGGCUCAACCCUGGAACUGCCUUUAAUACUGGUAAUCUAGAGUUCGAGAGAGGUGAGUGGAAUUCCGAGUGUAGAGGUGAAAUUCGUAGAUAUUCGGAGGAACACCAGUGGCGAAGGCGGCUCACUGGCUCGAUACUGACGCUGAGGUGCGAAAGCGUGGGGAGCAAACAGGAUUA
This 705-nucleotide ribosomal RNA is filed under the name uncultured Pseudomonadota bacterium. RNAcentral describes it as "bacterial SSU rRNA". It matches the Rfam family "Bacterial small subunit ribosomal RNA", at positions 28 to 780 of the family's 1533-position model. Lineage: Bacteria; Pseudomonadati; Pseudomonadota. The record is from RNAcentral.